Long non-coding RNA from Orcinus orca (killer whale), 223 nucleotides. RefSeq lists it as uncharacterized. Lineage: Eukaryota; Metazoa; Chordata; Mammalia; Artiodactyla; Delphinidae. The record is from RefSeq and is a predicted model, not a curated record. The transcript has 3 exons.
AGGGUCUCAAAUUUAGAAAACCAACUUAUGCUUGCUUAAGGGUAAAGGUGAGUUGGGGUGCUGCAUAAAACCAGAGAUUGAAAUGGGCACAGAUAAAGUUCCUUAAGCCAAAUAUGGAAUAGACAAGAGCUACUCCUUGCUCAACGAAAUGGACUCAACACCCCAUAUUAAACACCUAAGAAUGUACCUGACUAGUAAGUAUCUUAAAACCUAUGGAUUGCUA